GAUGAAGAACGUAGCGAAAUGCGAUAAGUAAUGCGAAUUGCAGAAUUCAGUGAAUCAUCGAGUCUUUGAACGCACAUUGCGCCCCCUGGUAUUCCGGGGGGCAUGCCUGUCCGAGCGUCAUUGCUGCCCUCAAGCACGGCUUGUGUGUUGGGCCUCCGUCCUCCUCCCGGGGGACGGGCCCGAAAGGCAGCGGCGGCACCGCGUCCGGUCCUCGAGCGUAUGGGGCUUCGUCACCCGCUCUUGUAGGCCCGGCCGGCGCUUGCCGACACAUCAAUCUUUUUUCCAGGUUGACCUCGGAUCAGGUAGGGAUACCCGCUGAACUUAAGCAUAUCAAUAAGCGGACGA
This 345-nucleotide unclassified non-coding RNA is filed under the name soil metagenome. Its description in RNAcentral is "partial contains 5.8S ribosomal RNA, internal transcribed spacer 2, and large subunit ribosomal RNA". The stretch from base 1 to 120 matches the Rfam family "5.8S ribosomal RNA", at positions 35 to 154 of the family's 154-position model. The record is from RNAcentral.